RNAcentral lists this long non-coding RNA (2693 nucleotides) under Pan troglodytes (chimpanzee). RNAcentral's name for it is "lincRNA". The record is from RNAcentral. Lineage: Eukaryota; Metazoa; Chordata; Mammalia; Primates; Hominidae.
AGCCACUGGAGCUGGGGAGAGCAGGGAGCCGGGAGAGCCACCAGUCGCAGCCGAGCCGGGACCGGGACUCCAGGGUUCAGAACUUUUCUCGAGGACAGCGUGGGCACCGUGCCAGCCUCACCUGGCCCUUGCCCGUCUUUCAGCUGCAGGUCCCAACCCUCUCUCCUGGAGGCCACCCAUGCCACUCACCCCAGCCGAGGAGAACAAACUUUCUUAGGGAAGGCACCUCUGCGGCCGUGCUGGCUGGACCAGGAGGAGCAGACGGCUGGACAGACAGGGGGACUGAGGCACGGGACACCUGCAAGCCUGCCCUCCUAGUCCUGCCUCUGACAGACAGCCACAGAGUGGGCAGCCGGGGGGCCUAGGGCUCCACAGGGGCAGUUGGGGGGCACUCCCAGACCUCCGUCUGCCCACCAGCCACCUCGGAAUCCAGGUGGCUGGACACUGCUUCCCACGGCCCAGCCCCGUGGCUGGAACCCCCGCGGGUCAAGUCAGGAGCCCCCGCCAGACAGAGCCCCCGGCUCCUCCACCCACCGAGGCGACGGGCAACCUGAGUGAGAAGGCACAGGUGGCGGGCGGGCAAGUGCAGAGCCCUGAAGCCGACGGGCUGCUGACCCUGGAGCGCCCUGGCUCAGGGACUCCUGCCCAGGCUGGCGAUGAUGCUGCGGAGGCCACCCCUGGCCACCCCUGCCCUGUCCUGGAGCUGCCUCCGGCCUGGCCCAUGGGCUGCGGAGUCGAUGAUGUGCCGGCCUUCUGCUUCGUCUGCUUCCACAGGGAGGAGGAAGAGGAGCUGCUGGAAGCAGUCCCAUUGCGGAGACCUGAUGAUCCCAAAGGAUUUGGAUUCUAGAAAAAAGACAAUCACCAGGCACGGUGGCUCAUGCCUGUAAUCCUAGCACUUUGGGAGGCUGAGGCGGGUGGAUCACUUGAAGUCAGGAGUUUGAGACCAGCCUGGCCAACAUGAUGAAACCCCGUCUGUAGUAAAAAUACAAAAAUUAGCCAGGCAUAGUGGCACACGCCUGUAAUCCCAGCUACUCAGGAGGCUGAGCCAGGAGAAUCACUUGAACCCCGCAGGCAGAGGUUGUGGUGAGGCAAGAUCGUGCCAUUGCACUCCAGGCUGGGCAGCAGAGCAAGACUCUGUCAAAAAAAGAAGGAAGGUAGGAAGGCAGGAAGGAAGGAAGGAAGAAAGAAAGGAAGGAAGGGCGGGGAGAGAAAAAGAAAGAAAGGAGAAGAGAAGAGAAGAAAAGAGAAAAAAGACAAUCUAGACAGAGGCAGGAGGCCGACAAGUUAAGAACUGAAACAAUAUUCUCAAUGGUAGAGGUUGCCAACCUAUGGCCUGGGGGCCAGAUUUGUCUGCAAAGUGUGUUUCAUUUGGCCCAUUCAAUAUUUCUGAAUUUUGGGAAUUCGUUUCAAACAUUUAAAAGUUGGAAGAUUUCUGGAUUUCCUGCUUCUCUUUGAAUAUCAUCCAGCCACGCACAGCCCACGAUGUCUCCAGUUCCCCUCUUCUCCACCCUCUCUAUCACUUUACAUGCGACCCCAGUCGCUGAUGUCUGCGCCUGUAGGUACUUGAGUUUGCAAUCUCUGGCUCCUAAAGCUCUGGAAACAGUCGGGAGUGGCUGGGAGGAUUACGCUGGGUUGAGAAAACAGCCUGAUCAAAAACUUAGAAGAAAUAGGGGCAGUCAUAAAAAAUGAUGAGUUCAUGUCCUUUGUAGGGACAUGGAUGAAGCUGGAAACCAUCAUUCUCAGCAAACUAUCGCAAGGACAAAAAACCAAACACCGCACGUUCUCACUCAUAGGUGGGAAUUGAACAAAGAGAACACAUGGACACAGGAAGGGGAACAUCACACACCAGGGACUGUUGUGGGGUGGGGGGAAGGGGGAGGGAUAGCAUUAGGAGAUAUACCUAAUGCUAAAUGACGAGUUAAUGGGUGCAGCACACCAACAUGGCACACGUAUACAUACGUAACAAACCUGCAUGUUGUGCAUAUGUACCCUAAAACUUAAAGUAUAAUAAUAAUUUAAAAAAAGAAUAAAAAAGAAAUGCUUUUGAAGCUUGAAGCUAAAAAAACAAAAAAAAGAAAGAAAGAAAUAGGGAAGGCGUCCUAUGGGGGCUUUCUCACUAGGGAAAGAGUGAGCUGCAGGGAGGAGAAAGAACAGGGCCUGGAAGGACGAGCUGUCCCUAUCUCAUCUCUGUCCCCAUCCACCCACUUCAUCCAGGCCACCAAUUUCCGGUUAUCAAACAGACAAUGCAACAUCCCUUACACCUGCUGUACCUCUGCCUAGAAUCUCCUUUCUUCCCUUCUAUCCGGCGAGCAGUUCCUCCCAGCUGCACUCCUGGACUAGUCACUGCCUAUUUGCAGCAGGGAUCGCAAAGGCGACCUCAGUUGGAUAGGGCAUCCACCCAGGCCCAAGUUUAUGACCUCUUCCCCAAGAAGACUGUGAGUUCUCUGAGGUCUCGCUGGAAAUAGGAUGCAUGGAUGGAUGGAUGGAUGGAUGGAUGGACGGACGGAUGGAUGGAUGGAUGGAAGCGCAGGCAGGCAGGCGGAGGAACAGGCGGACGCAUGGAUGAAUGAAAUGCAUAUCCGAAUGCAGAACCUGGAUUUGUUUUCCCUCCUUCAAACAGACACAGGCUCCGCCCCACUAGCACAGACCGGGACAGUCUGGGGCAGUCUCGUCCCGCAGGGCCCAGAAAGCUG